This 869-nucleotide ribosomal RNA is filed under the name Euwallacea andamanensis. RNAcentral's name for it is "eukaryotic LSU rRNA". It matches the Rfam family "Eukaryotic large subunit ribosomal RNA", at positions 386 to 885 of the family's 3401-position model. Lineage: Eukaryota; Metazoa; Arthropoda; Insecta; Coleoptera; Curculionidae. The record is from RNAcentral.
WGARCAAGAGUACGUGAAACCGUUUAGGGGUAAACCUGAGAAACCCGAAAGGUCGAAGGGAGAAAUUCAUUCGCGUCUCGACGCAGGCGUCGGACGGGGUCGAGCGACGGAACUCGCGCUAGUUCHUCGGAAUCGCGAGUUUCGCGCCCUCCGUCCUUCGAACCGGCUGCGAACGCGUGCACUCUUUCUCCUGGUAGGACGUCGCGAUCCGUCGGGUGUCGGUCUACGACUUGCGGUGGAGACCGUCCGUCGUUCUUAAUCGAACGUACGGCGSGGACCCGCUCGUUCCGGCCGACUCGCUCGACGGUACACGUAAGGUCGAGGGUCGCUCGAAAAAAAUUUUUUUUUUUUUACGAGAAGCGUUCGACUCGUCGCAAGCGCGCCACGUGCGUCGGCACGCGGACCCGGUGCCGCGUCCGAUCUCUGGUGACUGUUGGCGACGACGUUCUCGGACAGACCUCGUCGGCGGCGCGGCGGCGGCGGCGGAAUUUUCGGAUUUCGUCGUUCGUUCGUUCGUCCGUCCGUCGAACGGAAGACCGAUCGGCGACGCUAUAGCUUUGGGUACUUUCAGGACCCGUCUUGAAACACGGACCAAGGAGUCUAGCAUGUACGCGAGUCAUUGGGAUUUUUACUAAACCUAAAGGCGCAAUGAAAGUGAAGGUCUUCCUCGCGAAGACCGUGGGAAGACGGACGGGGGCAUACGUAGGUCCGAGGUACCGCUCGAUCGCCCGUCCUGCAUUCCCGGGGCGUCUCGUUCACAUCGCGUGAAGAGGCGCACCGCGAGCGUACACGCUGGGACCCGAAAGAUGGUGAACUAUGCCUGGUCAGGACGAAGUCAGGGGAAACCCUGAUGGAGGUCCGUAGCGAUU